CCUACGGGUGGCAGCAGUGAGGAAUAUUGGUCAAUGGACGCAAGUCUGAACCAGCCAUGCCGCGUGCAGGAAGACGGCUCUAUGAGUUGUAAACUGCUUUUGUACGAGGGUAAACGCAGAUACGCGUAUCUGUCUGAAAGUAUCGUACGAAUAAGGAUCGGCUAACUCCGUGCCAGCAGCCGCGGUAAUACGGAGGAUUCAAGCGUUAUCCGGAUUUAUGGGGGUUAAAGGGUGCGUAGGCGGUCGGAUAAGUUAGAGGUGAAAUCCCGAGGCUCAACUUCGGAAUUGCCUCUGAUACUGUUCGGCUAGUGAGUAGUUGCGGUAGGCUGAAUGUAUGGUGUAGCAGUGAAAUGCUUAGAGAUCAUACAGAACACCGAUUGCGAAGGCAGCUUACCAAGCUACUUCUGACGUUGAGGCACGAAAGCGUGGGGAGCAAACAGGAUUAGAUACCCGGGUAGUC
RNAcentral lists this ribosomal RNA (460 nucleotides) under uncultured bacterium. Its description in RNAcentral is "partial 16S ribosomal RNA". It matches the Rfam family "Bacterial small subunit ribosomal RNA", at positions 338 to 795 of the family's 1533-position model. The record is from RNAcentral.